GAGAUGCUAUAUGAGAAAUGGAAAACCUGCAACAGGCUCAAAGUGGAUCUCUUCAGAGAAAUUGUCCGCCAGUAUCCUGUGUUCUGUUUCAUUGUACUGUUUCUUCUGUUAUCCACUGUUCUUUUAAACAGGUAUCUUCAUAUUUUGAUGAUUGUUUGGUCAUUCCUGGCUGGAGUUGACACAUUUUACUGCUCAUUAGGACCAGAGUCUCUUCUGCCUAAUAUCCUGUUCACAAUCAAGCCUAAACCUAAGAAUCUAGAGCUGCAAGAGUUAUUUCCCCUGGGGCACAGCUGUGCAGUCUAUGGGAAAAUAAAAUGUAAACAUCACAGGUAUGUGGGAUUUGAUUUAACUGUGCUGUACUGUUAAAAACGGUGUUUGUUUUGGCUGUUAAGUCAAUGCUGUGAGCUAUGAUGAGACUUUCAAGAGAUUUCCUAAAUGUAUAUACAGCUCUGGCCAAAAGUUUUGCAUCACCCUAUAGAAUGAACUCAUUUUGCUUCAUAAAAUCGAAUCAAACCUGGGCCCAAUUAUUUUUGUUUUUAGAUAAAUGUCAGUUUUCUUGUCUGGAAGAUCAUUUCUUUAUCUCCUUCUUACAGACCAACACUGCUGCUUGAAAAGUGUCAACCAUGGUUGGACCUGAAAGUAUUCUCAAAAGUGGACACGUCACUUUCAGAGGUACAGACGUGCUCAAAUUUGUUGGUACCCCUACAGCUCAUUGAAAUAAUGCUUCAUUCCUCCUGAAAAGUGAUGAAAUUAAAAGCUAUUUUAUCAUGUAUACUUGCAUGCCUUUGGUAUGUCAUAGAAUCAAGCAAAGAAGCUGUGAAAAGAGAUGAAUUAUUGCUUAUUCUACAAAGAUAUUCUAAAAUGGCCUGGACACAUUUGUUGGUACCCCUUAGAAAAGAUAAUAAAUAAUUGGAUUAUAGUGAUAUUUCAAACUAAUUAGUUUCUUUAAUUAGUAUCACACAUGUCUCCAAUCUUAUAAUUAGUCAUUCAGCCUAUUUAAAUGGAGAAAAGUAGUCACUGUGCUGUUUGGUAUCAUUGUGUGCACCACACUGAACAUGGACCAGAGAAAGCAAAGGAGAGAGUUGUCUGAGGAGAUCAGAAAGAAAAUAACAGACAAGCAUGGUAAAGGUAAAGGCUACAAGACCAUCUCCAAGCAGUUUGAUGUUCCUGUGACAACAGUUGCAAAUAUUAUUAAGAAGUUUAAGGUCCAUGGAACUGUAGUCAACCUCCCUGGGCGUGGCCGCAAGAGGAAAAUCGACCCCAGAUUGAACAGAAGGAUAGUGUGAAUGGUAGAAAAAGAACCAAGGAUAACUGCCAAAGAGAUACAAGCUGAACUCCAAGGUGAAGUUACGUCAGUUUCUGAUCGCACCAUCCGUCGCUUUUUGAGCGAAAGUGGGCUCCAUGGAAGAAGACCCAGGAGGACUCCACUUUUGAAAGAAAAACAUAAAAAAGCCAGACUGGAAUUUGCUAAAAUGCAUAUUGACAAGCCACAAUCCUUCUGGGAGAAUGUCCUUUGGACAGAUGAGUCAAAACUGGAGCUUUUUGGCAAGUCACAUCAGAUCUAUGUUCACAGAUGAAAAAAUUAAGCUUUCAAAGAAAAGAACACCAUACCUACAGUGAAACAUGGAGGAGGCUCGGUUAUGUUUUGGGGCUGCUUUGCUGCGCCUAGCACAGGGUGCCUUGAAUCUGUGCAGGGCACAAUGAAAUCUCAAGACUAUCAAGGCAUUCUGGAGCGAAACGUACUGCCCAGUGUCAGGAAGCUCUGUCUCAGUCGCAGGUCAUGGGUCCUCCAACAGGAUAAUGACCCAAAACACACAGCUAAAAGCACCCAAGAAUGGAUAAGAACAAAACAUUGGACUAUUCUGAAGUGGCCUUCUAUGAGUCCUGAUCUGAAUCCUAUCGAACAUCUAUGGAAAGAGCUGAAACUUGCAGUCUGGAGAAGGCACCCAUCAAACCUGAGACAGCUGGAGCAGUUUGCUCAGGAAGAGUGGGCCAAACUACCUGUUAACAGGUGCAGAAGUCUCAUUGAGAGCUACAGAAAACGUUUGAUUGCAGUGAUUGCCUCUAAAGCAGUAGUGUGGAGUAGUGGUUAGGGCUCUGGACUCUUGACCGGAGGGUCGUGGGUUCAAUCCCCAGUGGGGGACACUGCUGUUGUAUCCUUGAGCAAGGUACUUUACCUAGAUUGCUCCAGUAAAAACCCAACUGUAUAAAUGGGUAAUUGUAUGUAAAAAUAAUGUGAUAUCUGUAUAAUGUGAAAUAAUGUAUAAUGUGAUAUGUUGUAACAAUUGUAAGUCGCCCUGGAUAAGGGCGUCUGCUAAGAAAUAAAUAAUAAUAAUAAAGGUUGUGCAACAAAAUAUUAG
Molecule: long non-coding RNA, 2360 nt
Organism: Acipenser ruthenus (sterlet)
Lineage: Eukaryota; Metazoa; Chordata; Actinopteri; Acipenseriformes; Acipenseridae
Exons: 3
Source: RefSeq, a predicted model, not a curated record